This 209-nucleotide ribosomal RNA is filed under the name uncultured bacterium. Its description in RNAcentral is "partial 16S ribosomal RNA". It matches the Rfam family "Bacterial small subunit ribosomal RNA", at positions 568 to 775 of the family's 1533-position model. The record is from RNAcentral.
CAUGUAGGCGGAUUAAUAAGUUUGAAGUGAAAUCCUAUAGCUUAACUAUAGAACUGCUUUGAAAACUGUUAAUCUAGAAUGUGGGAGAGGUAGAUGGAAUUUCUGGUGUAGGGGUAAAAUCCGUAGAGAUCAGAAGGAAUACCGAUUGCGAAGGCGAUCUACUGGAACAUUAUUGACGCUGAGAUGCGAAAGCGUGGGGAAGCAAACAG